RNAcentral lists this ribosomal RNA (440 nucleotides) under uncultured bacterium. Its description in RNAcentral is "bacterial SSU rRNA". It matches the Rfam family "Bacterial small subunit ribosomal RNA", at positions 338 to 795 of the family's 1533-position model. The record is from RNAcentral.
CCUACGGGGGGCAGCAGUGGGGAGUAUUGGACAAUGGGCGAAAGCCUGUUCCAGCAAUGCCGCGUGUGUGAAGAAGGUCUUCGGAUUGUAAAGCACUUUCGACGGGGACGAUGAUGACGGUACCCGUAGAAGAAGCCCCGGCUAACUUCGUGCCAGCAGCCGCGGUAAUACGAAGGGGACUAGCGUUGCUCGGAAUGACUGGGUGUAAAGGGCGCGUAGGCGGUUUAUGCAGUCAGAUGUGGAAUCCCCGGGCUUAACCUGGGAACUGCAUUUGAGACGCAUAGACUAGAGGUCGAGGGAGGGUUGUGGAAUUCCCAGUGUAGAGGUGAAAUUCGUAGAUAUUGGGAAGAACACCGGAGGCGAAGGCGGCAACCUGGCUCGAUACUGACGCUGAGGCGCGAAAGCGUGGGGAGCAAACAGGAUUAGAUACCCGCGUAGUC